RNAcentral lists this ribosomal RNA (229 nucleotides) under uncultured bacterium. RNAcentral's name for it is "partial 16S ribosomal RNA". It matches the Rfam family "Bacterial small subunit ribosomal RNA", at positions 568 to 796 of the family's 1533-position model. The record is from RNAcentral.
GGUGUAGGCGGUUUGUUAAGUCAGAUGUGAAAGCCCACGGCUCAACCGUGGAAGUGCAUCUGAAACUGGCAGACUUGAGUACCGGAGAGGGAAGUGGAAUUCCUGGUGUAGGGGUGAAAUCCGUAGAUAUCAGGAGGAACACCGGUGGCGAAGGCGACUUCCUGGACGGAUACUGACGCUGAGAUCCGAAAGCGUGGGGAGCAAACAGGAUUAGAUACCCUGGUAGUCC